CGCCUACCGGCUGCAGAGGAGAAGGGAGGAAAGGGUGGAAUCUCAACACAAGUGGUAGGCAACUUUGAAAACAAUAAAUAGAUGAAGAAUGGAGAGACCUCAAAAGGAGAGUCUGGGAACCCUAGCCAAAGGCUAUAAUGUGGUAAAAUCGUGGGGACUUAAUUCCAUCAUAUGGAGGUUACUGAAUGUAUCAGAGACAGCCUGCAGUUCAUCACCACACAAAUUAGG
Molecule: long non-coding RNA, 228 nt
Filed under: Homo sapiens (human)
Lineage: Eukaryota; Metazoa; Chordata; Mammalia; Primates; Hominidae
Description: non-protein coding lnc-LRRIQ1-1:2
Source: RNAcentral